Molecule: ribosomal RNA, 297 nt
Filed under: uncultured Syntrophus sp.
Lineage: Bacteria; Pseudomonadati; Thermodesulfobacteriota; Syntrophia; Syntrophales; Syntrophaceae
Description: partial 16S ribosomal RNA
Rfam family: Bacterial small subunit ribosomal RNA
Source: RNAcentral
UUAAGUCCCGCAACGAGCGCAACCCUUGUCUUAAUUGCCAUCAUUCAUCGGGCACUUUAAGAGACUGCCGGUGUUAAACCGGAGGAAGGUGGGAUGACGUCAAGUCCUCAUGGCCUUUAUGCCCAGGGCUACACACGUGCUACAAUGGGUGGUACAAAGAGAUGCAAUCUCGCAAGAGCAAGCAAACCUCAAAAAGCCAUCCUCAGUUCGGAUUGGAGUCUGCAACUCGACUCCAUGAAGUCGGAAUCGCUAGUAAUCGCGGGUCAGCACGCCGCGGUGAAUACGUUCCCGGGCCUU